RNAcentral lists this ribosomal RNA (416 nucleotides) under uncultured bacterium. Its description in RNAcentral is "bacterial SSU rRNA". It matches the Rfam family "Bacterial small subunit ribosomal RNA", at positions 355 to 768 of the family's 1533-position model. The record is from RNAcentral.
UAAGGAAUAUUGGUCAAUGGACGCAAGUCUGAACCAGCCAUGCCGCGUGGAGGAUUAAGGCCCUCUGGGUUGUAAACUCCUUUUAUCUGGGCAGAAAUGUACUUUUUCUUGAGUACUUGACGGUACCAGAGGAAUAAGCACCGGCUAACUCCGUGCCAGCAGCCGCGGUAAUACGGAGGGUGCAAGCGUUAUCCGGAUUUACUGGGUUUAAAGGGUGCGUAGGUGGGCUUAUAAGUCAGUGGUGAAAUCUCCGAGCUUAACUUGGAAACUGCCGUUGAUACUAUAGGUCUUGAAUUAUCUGGAGGUAAGCGGAAUAUGUCAUGUAGCGGUGAAAUGCUUAGAUAUGCCAUAGAACACCAAUUGCGAAGGCAGCUUACUACAUAUAAAUUGACGCUGAGGCACGAAAGCGUGGGGAU